AGACGGUUGCUGCAUAAUGUCACGGUGACAAAGAAGCUGCUGGUGCUGCUUCUGAAACGGCCAGGUUGAUGAUGCCAUAUAUCCAAGGUUAACCCCCGGAGGUUCCUGUUUUCUAAUUGAGGCAUAGCGGUCCUCGCUGGAGGGGAAGCACAGGAUGUUCGGCCUGACUGUUGCCAAGGUGAUCCAGAGGAUCUCCUGGGAGGAGUGGAGUCUCCACUGUUGGAGGAGGACACAUGGGGCAGAGGAGACGCUCCUCCUCAUCCAGGAUCUCCACGUCACCCUGGACGUCUCUUUGCUGGAUUCUCUCUGCAUCCAGGACAUAUGGAGACACAGAGGAGCCACCUCAGCUGCAUUCAGGACCCAGCAGGUGCAGCUGUACAGAGACUGGUAGACUGACAAAGGGCAGGGUCAGCCUUCUGGUUUCCACCUUAAACACUUCAUCCCAGCCAGUGCCAAGUACUUCCAAGCUCCUGACAACACCUGCCAGACAGAGCAGGAGGAAGAGCGAGUUCUUCCCUCCCAGAGACCAGGAGAGGCAGCCCAGGUGACAGUUCAAGGCAGCGACGGGGGAGAACACCUCCUGUCCUGGGAAGGAGAGUCUCCAGAGCUGUCUUCUUGGACUGAACUCGGGCCCUGCAAACUGGGCCAGUGUUAGCCGCCUGGUGGAGGCCGUUUGCAACCAGCUCUGCGUCUUCACCCGGUGGCCACGUGGUCCAGAGGGACCGUGAGGACUCGCUGGUCAUUCAGUCUCAAGGAUCAUGUGGCAUCAGAGAGGCAGUGCUGGCCGGCCCCAGGUUGAUGGCUCAGACCAACAUCCAGCUCUUUGAAUUAA
Molecule: long non-coding RNA, 832 nt
Organism: Seriola aureovittata
Lineage: Eukaryota; Metazoa; Chordata; Actinopteri; Carangiformes; Carangidae
Exons: 4
Source: RefSeq, a predicted model, not a curated record